GGGGCCGUCACGGUUUCGACAGGGGGGUGAAAACUACCCCGUGAUUCAGGCCGAGAGUGAGUCUUCUCUCGUAAAUACCGGGCUCAAAACAAAAAGUAAAUGCGAACAACAUCGUUCCUUUUGCUCGCAAAGCAGCUGCUGUUGCUUAAUAACCCUCUAACUUGAGGCGCGAGCGUCUGUAGUCCGACUCCGUUAAGGACCACAGACCAACCCCCAACGGAUGCCCUAGCGCGAUUUCUCUGGUAGAGUGCUAGCUAAGACUUAACCAGAGCAUCCCAUCAUCCGGGAUAAUGGAUGAUUCUCGCCCUGAGGAUUAGAGGGGCUAAGCCUGUGAAGGAACGGAAAGCCAAUAACCUCUUUGGAAAGCGGUUCGACUCCGCUCGGCUCCACUA
RNAcentral lists this transfer-messenger RNA (392 nucleotides) under Oscillatoria sp. SIO1A7. It matches the Rfam family "transfer-messenger RNA". Rfam says of the family: Bacterial tmRNA, also known as 10Sa RNA or SsrA, is named for its dual tRNA and mRNA-like properties. Its role is to liberate the mRNA from a stalled ribosome. RNAcentral also lists the same sequence under 1 other name. The record is from RNAcentral. Lineage: Bacteria; Bacillati; Cyanobacteriota; Cyanophyceae; Oscillatoriales; Oscillatoriaceae.